UACGUAGGGUGCAAGCGUUGUCCGGAAUUAUUGGGCGUAAAGAGCUCGUAGGCGGCUUGUCGCGUCGGCUGUGAAAACCUGGGGCUCAACCCCGGGCCUGCAGCCGAUACGGGCAAGCUAGAGUUCGGUAGGGGAGACUGGAAUUCCUGGUGUAGCGGUGAAAUGCGCAGAUAUCAGGAGGAACACCGGUGGCGAAGGCGGGUCUCUGGGCCGAUAUUGACGCUGAGGAGCGAAAGCGUGGGGAGCGAACAGG
Molecule: ribosomal RNA, 253 nt
Filed under: uncultured bacterium
Lineage: Bacteria
Description: partial 16S ribosomal RNA
Rfam family: Bacterial small subunit ribosomal RNA
Source: RNAcentral